GUAGGUGGCAAGCGUUGUCCGGAAUGACUGGGCGUAAAGGGUGCGUAGGUGGCUGGUCAAGUUGGUAGUGAAAUUCCGAGGCUUAACUUCGGCGCUACUACCAAGACUGAUUGGCUCGAGUGCAGGAGAGGUAAGCGGAAUUCCUAGUGUAGCGGUGGAAUGCGUAGAUAUUAGGAGGAACACCAGUGGCGAAAGCGGCUUGCUGGCCUGUAACUGACACUGAAGCACGAAAGCGUGGGGAGCAAACAGGAUUAGAUACCCUGGUAGUCCACGCCGUAAACGAUGAUUACUAGGUAUGGGAGGUAUCGACUCCUUCCGUGCCGCAGCUAACGCAAUAAGUAAUCCGCCUGGGGAGU
RNAcentral lists this ribosomal RNA (356 nucleotides) under uncultured bacterium. RNAcentral's name for it is "bacterial SSU rRNA". It matches the Rfam family "Bacterial small subunit ribosomal RNA", at positions 527 to 881 of the family's 1533-position model. The record is from RNAcentral.